AGUGAACGCUGGCGGUAGGCCUAACACAUGCAAGUCGAACGGCAGCACAGUAAGAGCUUGCUCUUACGGGUGGCGAGUGGCGGACGAGUGAGGAAUACAUCGGAAUCUACUUUUUCGUGGGGGAUAACGUAGGGAAACUUACGCUAAUACCGCAUACGACCUACGGGUGAAAGCAGGGGAUCUUCGGACCUUGCGCGAUUGAAUGAGCCGAUGUCGGAUUAGCUAGUUGGCGGGGUAAAGGCCCACCAAGGCGACGAUCCGUAGCUGGUCUGAGAGGAUGAUCAGCCACACUGGAACUGAGACACGGUCCAGACGCCUACGGGAGGCAGCAGUGGGGAAUAUUGGACAAUGGGCGCAAGCCUGAUCCAGCCAUACCGCGUGGGUGAAGAAGGCCUUCGGGUUGUAAAGCCCUUUUGUUGGGAAAGAAAAGCAGCAGGUUAAUACCCCGCUGUUCUGACGGUACCCAAAGAAUAAGCACCGGCUAACUUCGUG
Molecule: ribosomal RNA, 492 nt
Filed under: uncultured bacterium
Lineage: Bacteria
Description: partial 16S ribosomal RNA
Rfam family: Bacterial small subunit ribosomal RNA
Source: RNAcentral